GCCGGGUUAGCUCAGUGGUAGAGCAACCGCCUUGUAAGCGGUAGGUCAAGGGUUCAACCCCCUUACCCGGCU
RNAcentral lists this transfer RNA (72 nucleotides) under Actinomycetes bacterium. RNAcentral's name for it is "tRNA-Thr". It matches the Rfam family "tRNA". From Rfam's summary of the family: Transfer RNA (tRNA) molecules are approximately 80 nucleotides in length. Their secondary structure includes four short double-helical elements and three loops (D, anti-codon, and T loops). Further hydrogen bonds mediate the characteristic L-shaped molecular structure. tRNAs have two regions of fundamental functional importance: the anti-codon, which is responsible for specific mRNA codon recognition, and the 3' end, to which the tRNAs corresponding amino acid is attached (by aminoacyl-tRNA synthetases). tRNAs cope with the degeneracy of the genetic code in two manners: having more than one tRNA (with a specific anti-codon) for a particular amino acid; and 'wobble' base-pairing, i.e. permitting non-standard base-pairing at the 3rd anti-codon position. RNAcentral also lists the same sequence under 3 other names. The record is from RNAcentral. Lineage: Bacteria; Bacillati; Actinomycetota; Actinomycetes.